GUGUCAGCAGCCGCGGUAAUACCGGCAGCUCGAGUGAUGACCGAUUUUAUUGGGCCUAAAGCGUCCGUAGCUGGCCGCGCAAGUCUGUCGGGAAAUCCACCCGCUUAACGGGUGGGCGUCCGGCGGAAACUGUGCGGCUUGGGACAGGAAGGCUCGAGGGGUACGUUCGGGGUAGGAGUGAAAUCCCGUAAUCCUGAACGGACCACCGAUGGCGAAAGCACCUCGGGCUGCCGGUAUUACCGCGGCUGCU
RNAcentral lists this ribosomal RNA (250 nucleotides) under uncultured prokaryote. RNAcentral describes it as "partial 16S ribosomal RNA". It matches the Rfam family "Archaeal small subunit ribosomal RNA", at positions 455 to 702 of the family's 1478-position model. The record is from RNAcentral.